RNAcentral lists this transfer RNA (69 nucleotides) under Marmota monax (woodchuck). RNAcentral describes it as "tRNA.Asp". Lineage: Eukaryota; Metazoa; Chordata; Mammalia; Rodentia; Sciuridae. The record is from RNAcentral.
GGAAUGUAACUCAGUGGUAAGAGCACUUGCCUAUCAUUCAGGAGGCUUUGGGUUCCAUACCCAGCACCA